Molecule: ribosomal RNA, 874 nt
Filed under: uncultured bacterium
Lineage: Bacteria
Description: bacterial SSU rRNA
Rfam family: Bacterial small subunit ribosomal RNA
Source: RNAcentral
AGAGUUUGAUCCUGGCUCAGGGUGAACGCUAGCGGUGCGCCUAACACAUGCAAGUUGAGCGGUAGAAUGGAGUAGCUUGCUACAAAAGGAAAGCGGCGAACGGGUGAGUAAAAUGUUGCUACCUGCCCUCAAGUCGGGGAUAGCCAUUGGAAACGAUGAUUAAUACCGGAUAGUCUCUGAGGAGUAAAAAUUUAUUGCUUGAGGAGGGGGCUUCAAUCUAUCAGCUAGUUGGCGAGGUAACUGCUCACCAAGGCAAUGACGGAUAACUGAUCUGAGAGGAUGAUCAGUCACAAUGGAACUGAGACACGGUCCAUACUCCUACGGGAGGCAGCAGUGAGGAAUCUUCCACAAUGGGCGAAAGCCUGAUGGAGCGACACCGCGUGAAGGAUGAAGGCCUAACGGUUGUAAACUUCUUUUCUGAAGGAGCAUAAUGAGAGUACUUCAGGAAUAAGGAGCGGCUAAUCACGUGCCAGCAGCCGCGGUAAUACGUGAGCUCCGAGCAUUACCCGGAAUUACUGGGUGUAAAGAGUUUGUAGGCGGAGCGAUAAGUUGUGUAUUAAAGACCGAAGCUUAACUUCGAGUUUGUGCACAAAACUAUCAUUCUAGAAUCAGGGAGGGGUAAGCGGAAUUCUGAGUGUAGGGGUGCAAUCCGUAGAUACUCAGAGGAACACCAAAAGCGAAGGCAGCUUACUGGAACUGAAUUGACGCUCAAGAACGAAAGCGUGGGGAGCGAAAAGGAUUAGAUACCCUUGUAGUCCACGCCCUAAACGAUGAUAAUUAAGUGUUGCGACUAGAUCGCAGUGCUGUAGCUAACGCGUUAAGUUAUCCACCUGAGGAGUACGGUCGCAAGAUUAAAACUCAAAGGAAUAGACGG